ACCCCACUAUAUGCCCCCAAGCAAAGCUCUAAGCACUAAGACAUUGUUGUUAAAACUUAAAUGCCAUGGCGGCGAGCUCAAAAAUCAGAGGAACCUACCAGAUAAAUGACAACCCACAAAAAAUUCUUACUUUUACUAAGAGCUUAUAUAUCGCCGUCUAGUGAUCUUUUCUGAAGGUCACGUACUGCAAAAAGACAGGCCAUGACAUAGCAUAUGUAAAAGACUUGAGGUGGGUUACAAUAAGAGAGACUUUCCGAAUCUUUUUAAAGAAAAAGAAGAAGAUGGAUUUGAAAGUAAGGCCCAAGAUAAUUAAUCCUUGAAUUUGCCUGAGCUCGUGUACACCCCG
RNAcentral lists this ribosomal RNA (346 nucleotides) under Liloa mongii. RNAcentral describes it as "partial small subunit ribosomal RNA". Lineage: Eukaryota; Metazoa; Mollusca; Gastropoda; Cephalaspidea; Haminoeidae. The record is from RNAcentral.